RNAcentral lists this ribosomal RNA (763 nucleotides) under Lactobacillus crispatus. RNAcentral describes it as "bacterial SSU rRNA". It matches the Rfam family "Bacterial small subunit ribosomal RNA", at positions 44 to 757 of the family's 1533-position model. The record is from RNAcentral. Lineage: Bacteria; Bacillati; Bacillota; Bacilli; Lactobacillales; Lactobacillaceae.
GUGGCUAAUAACUAGACAAGUCGAGCGAGCUGGAACUAACAGAUGUUACUUCGGUAAUGACGUGUAGGAAAGCGAGCGGCGGAUGGGUUGAGUAACACGUAGGGGAACCUGCCCCAUAGUCUGGGAUACCACUUGGAAACAGGUGCUAAUACCGGAUAAGAAAGCAGAUCGCAUGAUCAGCUUUUAAAAGGCGGCGUAAGCUGUCGCUAUGGGAUGGCCCCGCGGUGCAUUAGCUAGUUGGUAAGGUAAAGGCUUACCAAGGCGAUGAUGCAUAGCCGAGUUGAGAGACUGAUCGGCCACAUUGGGACUGAGACACGGCCCAAACUCCUACGGGAGGCAGCAGUAGGGAAUCUUCCACAAUGGACGCAAGUCUGAUGGAGCAACGCCGCGUGAGUGAAGAAGGUUUUCGGAUCGUAAAGCUCUGUUGUUGGUGAAGAAGGAUAGAGGUAGUAACUGGCCUUUAUUUGACGGUAAUCAACCAGAAAGUCACGGCUAACUACGUGCCAGCAGCCGCGGUAAUACGUAGGUGGCAAGCGUUGUCCGGAUUUAUUGGGCGUAAAGCGAGCGCAGGCGGAAGAAUAAGUCUGAUGUGAUAGCCCUCGGCUUAACCGAGGAACUGCAUCGGAAACUGUGUAUCUUGAGUGCAGAAGAGGAGAGUGGAACUGCAUGUGUAGCGGGUGGAAUGCGUAGAAUAUAUUGGAAGAACAGCAGGUGGCGAAGGGCGGGCUCUCUGGGUCUGCCAACUGACGCCUGAGGGCUCAAA